RNAcentral lists this ribosomal RNA (253 nucleotides) under uncultured bacterium. RNAcentral's name for it is "partial 16S ribosomal RNA". It matches the Rfam family "Bacterial small subunit ribosomal RNA", at positions 524 to 776 of the family's 1533-position model. The record is from RNAcentral.
UACGUAGGUGGCGAGCGUGUCCGGAUUUAUUGGGUUUAAAGGGUGCGUAGGCGGCUUUGUAAGUCAGUGGUGAAAUACUCCAGCUUAACUGGAGGGGUGCCAUUGAUACUGCGGAGCUUGAGUACAGAUGAGGUAGGCGGAAUUGACGGUGUAGCGGUGAAAUGCAUAGAUAUCGUCAAGAACACCGAUAGCGAAGGCAGCUUACUGGGCUGUAACUGACGCUGAUGCACGAAAGUGUGGGGAUCAAAACAGG